RNAcentral lists this ribosomal RNA (485 nucleotides) under uncultured bacterium. RNAcentral's name for it is "partial 16S ribosomal RNA". It matches the Rfam family "Bacterial small subunit ribosomal RNA", at positions 30 to 507 of the family's 1533-position model. The record is from RNAcentral.
UUGCACGCUGGCGGCAUGCCUUACACAUGCAAGUCGCACGGCAGCACGGGUGCUUGCACCUGGUGGCGAGUGGCGAACGGGUGAGUAAUACAUCGGAACAUGUCCUGUAGUGGGGGAUAGCCCGGCGAAAGCCGGAUUAAUACCGCAUACGAUCUACGGAUGAAAGCGGGGGACCUUCGGGCCUCGCGCUAUAGGGUUGGCCGAUGGCUGAUUAGCUAGUUGGUGGGGUAAAGGCCUACCAAGGCGACGAUCAGUAGCUGGUCUGAGAGGACGACCAGCCACACUGGGACUGAGACACGGCCCAGACUCCUACGGGAGGCAGCAGUGGGGAAUUUUGGACAAUGGGCGAAAGCCUGAUCCAGCAAUGCCGCGUGUGUGAAGAAGGCCUUCGGGUUGUAAAGCACUUUUGUCCGGAAAGAAAUCCUUGGCCCUAAUACGGUCGGGGGAUGACGGUACCGGAAGAAUAAGCACCGGCUAACUACGUG